RNAcentral lists this ribosomal RNA (252 nucleotides) under uncultured bacterium. RNAcentral's name for it is "partial 16S ribosomal RNA". It matches the Rfam family "Bacterial small subunit ribosomal RNA", at positions 524 to 776 of the family's 1533-position model. The record is from RNAcentral.
UACGUAGGGGGCAAGCGUUGUCCGGAAUUAUUGGGCGUAAAGCGCGCGCAGGCGGCUUUGUAAGUCUGGUGUUUAAACCUAGGGCUCAACCCUGGGUCGCAUUGGAAACUGCAAGGCUUGAGUGCAGAAGAGGAGAGUGGAAUUCCACGUGUAGCGGUGAAAUGCGUAGAGAUGUGGCGGAACACCGAUGGCGAAGGCAGCCCCCUGGGCUGAGAUUGACGCUCAGGCACGAAAGCGUGGGGAGCAAACAGG